GACGAACGCUGGCGGCGUGCUUAACACAUGCAAGUCGAACGGAAAGGCCCUGCUUUUGUGGGGUGCCCGAGUGGCGAACGGGUGAGUAACACGUGAGUAACCUGCCCUUGACUUUGGGAUAACUUCAGGAAACUGGGGCUAAUACCGGAUAGGAGCUCCUGCUGCAUGGUGGGGGUUGGAAAGUUUCGGCGGUUGGGGAUGGACUCGCGGCUUAUCAGCUUGUUGGUGGGGUAGUGGCUUACCAAGGCUUUGACGGGUAGCCGGCCUGAGAGGGUGACCGGCCACAUUGGGACUGAGAUACGGCCCAGACUCCUACGGGAGGCAGCAGUGGGGAAUAUUGCACAAUGGGCGGAAGCCUGAUGCAGCAACGCCGCGUGCGGGAUGACGGCCUUCGGGUUGUAAACCGCUUUCGCCUGUGACGAAGCGUGAGUGGCGGUAAUGGGUAAAGAAGCACCGGCUAACUACGUG
RNAcentral lists this ribosomal RNA (468 nucleotides) under uncultured bacterium. RNAcentral describes it as "partial 16S ribosomal RNA". It matches the Rfam family "Bacterial small subunit ribosomal RNA", at positions 28 to 507 of the family's 1533-position model. The record is from RNAcentral.